Molecule: long non-coding RNA, 427 nt
Organism: Dermacentor albipictus
Lineage: Eukaryota; Metazoa; Arthropoda; Arachnida; Ixodida; Ixodidae
Source: RefSeq, a predicted model, not a curated record
UCGUGCUGUCGAGAGCUUGGGCCUGAGUAAUAGACAGAGUAACAGGCCGGGUAUCUCCUAAUCUGUACGACAUUAAUUUCUGAGCUUCAUAUCGCAGAUAUAAACUGCACCGGAGUAGAGAGAAGGCAUAUGUCAACGGGAAGUCGAAUGCAGAGACAUAUAUACAUGGCCGGUGCGUUAUUAGCCACGUGGAUGGUUUUUCCGACUGGGAACGUUCAAUGUGCUGAAAUGGACGACGAGGGACACACAAGCAAGGUGGCACAAGAGCGGCGCAUCAUUUUCCACCUCACUCGCACAACUACAAGACCAACAAGAAGCUUGCUAGAAUACAUUCCACAAGCUCAGCCCUGGCCCCCACAAGCACCUCGCCCACGAGAAAAGAGAUAGUGCCACUUGGGUGUAACUCAUUUUGAUUAAACAAACCAAA